GGGGCGACACCAGAGAGUGAAGAGAACUUGCUUCUUGCUAGACACUUUCCGUGAAAAUCUUUUGUUUAAGUUUUUUUUUUUUUUUUUUUUUAUUUCUAACAUGAGGCAAUUGCCUCAUUUGCCUCAAUGUAGUUACGGCCCUGUAUUCAUUGUUUUAACUUUAAAUAAUAAUUAUAUGUAUGCUCUUUUCGGUCCUUUUCGGUUCUUUUUGGUCCUUUUCGGUUCUUUUUGGUCCUUUUCGGUUCUUUUCUGUAAAUCGUCGCUCUUUUCUGUAAAUCGUUGGACCGCUACUCGUUAAAAAUUAUAUGAAAGAAAAUGUGUAAUUCAUUGAUAAAAAGUAGGAUUUAUGAUUUUGUUUUCUCAAAAAGGAUUUUUAUUUUAAAGUUAUGAUAAGUAAAUAUUUCCUUAAAAUAUUAUCUACUGAUACACAUUGUUCUUAUCCCAA
Molecule: long non-coding RNA, 445 nt
Filed under: Mytilus galloprovincialis (Mediterranean mussel)
Lineage: Eukaryota; Metazoa; Mollusca; Bivalvia; Mytilida; Mytilidae
Source: RNAcentral